UUUACUAUUUUACCGUCACAUUUCUUUAUGUAUCACGGAUGGAGACACGUGGUACGUCGGGAAAUGUACGGUAAAAUAUGAUU
Molecule: non-coding RNA, 83 nt
Organism: Bombyx mori (domestic silkworm)
Lineage: Eukaryota; Metazoa; Arthropoda; Insecta; Lepidoptera; Bombycidae
Source: RefSeq, marked provisional